UUAUGGCUCAGGAUGAACGCUAGCGGCAGGCUUAAUACAUGCAAGUCGUGGGGCAGCAUGAGUGUAGCAAUACAUUUGAUGGCGACCGGCAAACGGGUGCGGAACACGUACUGAACCUUCCUUUAAGUGGGGAAUAGCCCAGAGAAAUUUGGAUUAAUACCCCGUAAUAUAUAGAAGUGGCAUCACUUUUAUAUUAAAGCUCCGGCGCUUAAAGAUGGCAGUGCGGCUGAUUAGGUAGUUGGCGGGGUAACGGCCCACCAAGCCGACGAUCAGUAACUGGUGUGAGAGCACGACCAGUCACACGGGCACUGAGACACGGGCCCGACUCCUACGGGAGGCAGCAGUAAGGAAUAUUGGUCAAUGGACGCAAGUCUGAACCAGCCAUGCCGCGUGGAGGAUGAAGGUCCUCUGGAUUGUAAACUUCUUUUAUCUGGGAAGAAACCCAUCUUUUCUUGGAUGGUUGACGGUACCAGAUGAAUAAGCACCGGCUAACUCCGUGCCAGCAGCCGCGGUAAUACGGAGGGUGCAAGCGUUAUCCGGAUUCACUGGGUUUAAAGGGUGCGUAGGUGGGCAGGUAAGUCAGCGGUGAAAUCUCCGGGCUUAACCCGGAAACUGCCAUUGAUACUAUCUGUCUUGAAUACCCUGGAGGUGAGCGGAAUAUGUCAUGUAGCGGUGAAAUGCUUAGAUAUGACAUAGAACACCCAUUGCGAAGGCAGCUCACUACGGGAAUAUUGACACUGAGGCACGAAAGCGUGGGGAUCAAACAGGAUUAGAUACCCUGGUAGUCCACGCCCUAAACGAUGGAUACUCGACAUCAGCGAUAAACUGUUGGUGUCUGAGCGAAAGCAUUAAGUAUCCCACCUGGGAAGUACGAUCGCAAGAUUGAA
This 887-nucleotide ribosomal RNA is filed under the name uncultured bacterium. RNAcentral's name for it is "bacterial SSU rRNA". It matches the Rfam family "Bacterial small subunit ribosomal RNA", at positions 17 to 898 of the family's 1533-position model. The record is from RNAcentral.